Long non-coding RNA from Lytechinus pictus (painted urchin), 4045 nucleotides. RefSeq lists it as uncharacterized. The transcript has 2 exons. The record is from RefSeq and is a predicted model, not a curated record. NCBI's taxonomy places the organism in Eukaryota, Metazoa, Echinodermata, Echinoidea, Temnopleuroida, Toxopneustidae.
GAAAUACAAAGAGUGUUUUUUUUUUAAUUGAAUUCCCAGGGUAUUUGUUACAAUCAAGAAUUACAUACAACAAAGUUCCAUGUGAGUUUUUUGGUACAAUUGCUUGAUGUUGAUAAAGACUGUCAAUUAUGUUUGAUAUUUCUUUUUUUUUUAACAGUGAAAGAAAGUUUGCCAGCAAGUUACCAGCCUCAUCAAGCCUACCUUCAUGAUUCAGUGAUCAAUGUCAUCAUAAUCAACUUAUCUCAAGGGCACAGUUCUCAAUUUCUGAUUGCUGUAAUAGGGUAAUGUUCUGAAGCAGUACAUGACAUAUAUUGCAAACUCACCUGUGACAUUGCCAAUCUCUAGCCAACGUCUAAAGGAUUUCUGUUUUUGUACAUGAGUCAAGAUGUGAUGGAAGCCAUGGCUUAGGCAAAUACAAAGCUAGCAGUCUUAUCCCUUGGCAUUGGAUAUGUGCAACAUCACAUGCCUUUGCAUGCAAUAUAUUAAAUAGAGGAUGGGGGCUUAAGUGUCGGGAUCAAUUUAUAAAUGGAAAGAUGUUGUGAUGCUGCUCUUCAAACCUUAAAUUGCUAUUCUUAGGAGAGCACAUGAGCUGUAAAAGAUUCAUGUCAUUUUUUUCCUCUUAAAAUUUAUGUCUUCUCUGUCGACCAGACCUAGAAUUUGUAUCAAACUUCAACAUUGUGUCUCCUUUCUUAAGCAACCAUACCAUGAUCAUGUAACGACCCGGAUAUCAAAUGGAAUCAGGCAAUUGAUCUCCACAUCAAAUGGGAAUAUAUGUAAUGUUCUAAUAGAAUUUGAACAGAAGAAAUCUAGCAACCUUCAGCCAUACAUACCAAUGAUUUCUAUUUUAAAUCAAAUUAUCCUACCCUCCCACAAAGUGCACAAAUCAACAGUUUUCUUCUCACCAUUAUUUAUGGAUGUACUUUUUCUUCAUCUUUGAUAUUAUUUUGGAACAUCUUGGGAAGGUAUUUAUGAUUUCUAUAUGAAGGAAAAUUGGUUCCCAUAUCAAUGAUAUUUUGAUACCUGGAAUAUUAAUGUAUUUGAAGAGAUAAAUCUUAAUACGAUGUUGUUUUAAGUAGUUGAAGAAUAACAAGAAUUACAUUUGACUGGAAAAUAUCAGAGAUUUGAAACAAUACCACGGUCCUUAUGAUUUCCAUGCUCGCUAAAAUAUUCAAAGUUAGAUUUACAUACUGAUUGAUGAUUUUUCUCUCCAGAUUUGAUAAUAAUAAUUGGUUUCUUUAAUAGAAAAAAAAAGUUUAUUCUAAUGUAUGCAGAACUUUAAAGUACCAUAAUCUUUAAAUUUUCAACUCAAAUUUUUGUUGAAAGUAAACUGUUUGACUCACUGUGAGAAAUCAUUCAAAUGAAUAAUACCUACUGUUGUAACCUGUCUGGACGAUUCUUCAAUUCCCUAUCCUUGGGUCAUAUAUUUUCAUGAAUUUGCCUGAGGGUUUUAAAGGUAAAUGUAUUAGAAGUUUUGAUUAGCAGAUAAAUGUUAUCAAAGAUGCUACCCUGAAGUUUGCAGAGAGCACUUUUACUGCAACCUAUUGAAUGUUAUGUUUCAAUUGAAAUUUAACAUGUAAGUGUAAGGAUUUUGGCUUGAUUUUGACUUGCUGAGAUGGUAUGAAAGUGGAGUAUAGAAUUGAUAAAUGAAAUUCUCUGCCAAGCAAAACACUUUUAUAUAUUCUGAGCGUUGAAUUCAACACUUUAAUUCAUUGAUUGUGCCAAGGUUAGAAAAUUCAGCACCUUUUUGUGCAAGGUCCUUUCACAAUUUUCCCAGCUUAAAUUUUUGUUUGAUAUUCAGCAGCUCAGGCAGAGUUAGGAUGAAGGUGAAUUUAUAUUCCAGACGUGGUGAGGAAUCAAUUUAGAAAGUUGUGUCUGACUUAAUUACUAAUUGAAUAAAUGCUUGUGGAGUUUACCAUGCCAUCAGAGUGUUGGCUCUGGCUGGUGUUUAAUUUCUCUUCUGGUUCUCUCAAACAUAUUUUUUCCUGCUUAAAGAGCUUCUUGGAGAUUUCAAAUGUUGUAAUAUUACCUCAAAUACACCAAACUCAUCAUUUUCACAAAAAAAUGCCUCUAAAUUUCUCUUUAAUGUAUAUUGAGGCCUAUGAGAUGUUUCAUUUCACUUUCAAAAUAACCAUAAUGGUUCUUUUCUGUUAAAUGUUUUUGAGUGACAGUGAGAAACUUACUAAGAGUCGGACAUCCUCUUUUUACCACAAAAAAUGAGUAAAAAAAAAUCAAGUAACUGAGGUCAGUAAUAUUGUGGUUACAUUCUUAUUCAAAAAGAUAUAGACAUGUGUCUAGCAGAAAAUUGAACUCUCAAUUUUAUGAAGUAAAUAAUUAAUUUGUGUUUAUUGGGUCAAACUAAUAGGUACAAGAUGCGAAGCAUGAAAUAUGAGGUAACAGUCUUUGUGAAUUUUCCAGACUGUGCUUUAGGAUUUUAUAAUUUCAUAAAGAAUAAAAAGAAGUGACCCUUCAAUCUCAUCAAGAAAACGCAAUCCUUAGUCUGGUAGUCUUGGAUGAUUUACUAUACUGUCUUCAAUCAAGUGCUUUGAGACUCCAUUUCCAUACAAAAUAUUCUAUAUCCCCCUCCCCCUUAAGAGAGUCAAGUAGGUUUACAAGUACAACUUGAUAUAAUUCAUCCCUAUAAAAUCCAAUACUUUGUCUUUCAAAGUUUUUAUUAUUGUAUUAGAGAAGGACCCAUUAAAAAUUAAUCACUAAAAUACAUUUUGAUUAAAACCUAAAAUUAAAAAUCUUAAAGUUUAGGGGGAUUGUCUGUUGUAAUUGCAGUUUUUUAUUUAAAAAAUAUCUUUGCCUUGAAAAUCUUGAGAUUAAGAUGUUGAGUUUGUUUGUUGCACUGUUUUUUUCAACAAUACUAUAUGUGAAGGAAAAACAGGGAUUAUAAAAUGUUUUUUAUAAUAGCAAGAAGCUGCAUAAAAGAGCGAAAUGUGGUGGUUCAUCCUAUAAUCAAGUCUUGUUUUAUUAAAUCAGCAAAUACGUUCAUACAUUGAGAAUGAAAACAAAAUAAAAUACACCCUUUUUUCAUAAGUCUUCUCAAAAGAUCAGCCUCGUUCAGACGUAGGCCGUUUUGGUCGGUGGAAAGGUCGGGGCAGUGCCCGUGUUGGAAACCUGUUCAGACGUGGGUUCGUAGUCGGAGUAAAAUUCUAUUGAGCAUGGAUUGGAAUUCCAAUGAUAUUCAUCUUAUCACGACCCAAGCAAUCACAAGACAAACUCCGACAUGUAAAAAAAAUGAUAAUGUAUAUGAAAUAAAAUUUUACUCUGACCAAGAACCCAUGUCUGAACGAGACGGUUGUCUUAAUAAUCAUUGGAUUUGCUAUCAUUUCUUUUACGAUUGAAAAGAAAAAUGAAUAUUGAGGUCAUUAAAUUAAAAUCCUAGUAUUAUAAUUUUGUUAUUUUUAAAUGUCUAUAUUUUAAUUGUCAGAAUAUCACGUAAAAGUUAUGUCAAAUUGUGUGUAUUCUGAAGAUUUUCUCAUGCACAUUUAAAGACAGCUGUGGCUUAAUAUGUGUAUACAUUAAAUGUUAAUACAAAACUUAGUUAAUUUAUUAUUGGUCUGUUUUUUAGUUCAUUUUGGGUUGAAUAAUGUGUGUACAGUGUAUAUAUUAUUAUCGCAUGUCUUAUGAACACUGCAAAAAAUCCAGUGUUGAUUUACCAGCCCGGAAUCUAUGUCCACACCAGAGAAUUACUGAAACAACACCAGUUUGGAAUCAAACCGAUGCUAUUUUAAUACUAAUUGGUGUUGUAUAAAUACCUAUCUGGUGUUAGACCAAACCAAACUGGUGUUUAACACUUCUCUGGUGUGGACAUAAUACAUUCCGGGCUAGUGGUAAAUCAACACCGGAGUUUUUGCAGUGAAGUGGGAAGUGGGGAUCUUGCAGUGGUUUGAAUUUUGCAAAUAUGAGAAUAAUUAUUUGCUGAUAUGUGAGGAAAGCAACCAAAAAAUGUUUUAAUUGUCAUGCGGUAGCUUUUCUUCCGUUCACUCAGUGGUCUAUAUAUAAAUUUUCAUGUCAGAAAUAUAGCUCUCAUCGAUCUAAA